GUGGGGAAUCUUCCGCAAUGGACGAAAGUCUGACGGAGCAACGCCGCGUGAAGGAAGAAGGCUUUCGGGUUGUAAACUUCUUUUGUCAGGGACGAAAAAAAUGACGGUACCUGACGAAUAAGCCACGGCUAACUACGUGCCAGCAGCCGCGGUAAUACGUAGGUGGCAAGCGUUAUCCGGAUUUACUGGGUGUAAAGGGCGUGUAGGCGGGAAAGCAAGUCAGAUGUGAAAACUAUGGGCUCAACCCAUAGCCUGCAUUUGAAACUGUUUUUCUUGAGUACUGGAGAGGCAGAUGGAAUUCCUAGUGUAGCGGUGAAAUGCGUAGAUAUUAGGAGGAACACCAGUGGCGAAGGCGAUCUGCUGGACAGCAACUGACGCUGAGGCGCGAAAGCGUGGGGAGCAAACAGGAUUAGAUACCCGAGUAGUCC
RNAcentral lists this ribosomal RNA (428 nucleotides) under uncultured bacterium. Its description in RNAcentral is "partial 16S ribosomal RNA". It matches the Rfam family "Bacterial small subunit ribosomal RNA", at positions 354 to 796 of the family's 1533-position model. The record is from RNAcentral.